Long non-coding RNA from Ctenopharyngodon idella (grass carp), 202 nucleotides. RefSeq lists it as uncharacterized. The record is from RefSeq and is a predicted model, not a curated record. The transcript is spliced from 3 exons. NCBI's taxonomy places the organism in Eukaryota, Metazoa, Chordata, Actinopteri, Cypriniformes, Xenocyprididae.
AGGAAAGAAAUGAGGGAGACCAAGAUCGAUCAGCCAAACCAGGAUCUGCCAAAAGCUCAUGCCAGUUCUGAUGCCUGGAUCCCCGUAAGUGAACCAUCUUCAGAAAGACUAUCAGAAACUACAGAAGAGAUCAAUACCCUGAAUGAAAAUUCCUCUCACUACGACUUUGACAAUGGUUCGAAAGAUGCACAUGAUGUCGGAC